UUGUAGUCAUUUCAUGACAUAUAUAAUGUUAACCUCUUUUUAGCGUAAUAUUUCUAAAUUAUGACUAAUUGUCUUGAAUGGGAUGUAUGUCUUCUGACUGACUGACCUUGCUUUCCUGUGCCCGUGACAAAGUGCCCCUCAACCACUGUAAUGUUGUGCCAAGAGAUUUCUCUAUGCAUGAAUGAGGAUGGCAGGCUGUCGCCUUUACUCUCCCCAGCAUAUAUCUUUUCUUAUCUGCAGCUGUACAGAAAGAUUCCCUCAGCAUUUCAACAUGUCAGUAAUCAGUGGGAGUAAAAGAAAUGUGAUAAAGACUCUCUUGCUCUGUUAAAACAAGUGGGGCAUACCACACAAAGCACCCGCGCAACAUCUGAAGGCAUUUUUCUCAGGGCAAGGUUGAAUACAUUUUAAUGAGGUGAAAAUACAUAUCUGUGCCUUAUGUGGCUUUAAUUAAAGGUAAGGUUCAUUGAUAUAUAUUAUUAAAUGAUUUGAGCAUUGGUAGCAUAACUGACUUUCUCAUGACUACAUGGUAAAUUAGAUAUGACAAUUAAAGCAGCAGCAGAGGAGUCCCUUAGCCUGUAGGCUACAUUGUUGUUCUUAAUUGCUGUUUUAUUCAGAGUCCUUCAGAGUGUGCUGUGCUCCUCUUAACUGUAAAAUUUAUUAAACAAGACCUUUUCCCAUGUGACUGUGUCUGUGUUCUGAAAUACUAAUGUGAAAAGCAGGCAAAAAUACAAUAGCUUAGCUCUGGUUAACAUGUAAGGAUGUUCUUUAUGAGAAGCAAUGGUAAGGCUUUGAAAACUGCUAAAUAAAACAAAACAGGUUAUGCAUUUUUUUUAGACUGAUUAUCAUAUUGUAUUUGAAAGUGUGAACAAAAGAAAUGUAUUUUGUCUACAAAUGGUGGUUCAGGUGGUUUGUAUACUCGUCUGCAGGAGAUUGAAGUACCAGCUUGAGUAGGGUGGCUUUAUAUUCUAACUUCUAUUGAAGAAGAGUAAAACAUGAUGCAUGCGGGCAUUUUUAGGAGCUUCUUCAGUUCUGUGUGUCCCGCAACCGCUUAACUUCCAUUUUCCAAGCCAAAUCUAUAACAAUAAUUUUACAGUGUUCUGCAGAUUAUUUUCUGAAAUUUAAAUAACUUUUCAGUAUGCUUGAAUUAUUUGCACAUAGACAAGGCUAUACCUUGUUCAUUUUAGUUGUGAAAACUUUGCUUAAGUUUCUAAUGAAUUACUUUUAUCGGAAUUAAAAAUGUGAAAUGCUAAUUCCUUUCAGCACCAAUAAUAAUCAUAUGCCUUCCUAAACUCUCUUCAUAUAAAUGUGUUAGAUGGUAGAGAUCUUGGCUUUCUUGAUAAUCCAUUUACCCAUGACACACAUCACAGUAAAUGUUCAAUCAUCUUUCUGCCUCCUAAUCUAUGGAGGUGAGGACCUUUUCAGUGAUAUAGUAUAAUUUGCCUUGGUAAUGACACUAUAGGAAGCUCUAGUCUGAAUGGUUUACCCUAUUUUGUGGCUUUCAUCCCUUUUGUACAAAUCAGUUUAGCUGUGCUAUGCUUUACAAAAUGGUCUGCUUAUGUUACUCUUACUAUUUAUUCAUAUGUACAGUGUUUCACAUUUCAAAUUUGACUGCAGUACUUCAUUCGUUUACUAUGUUAAAUGUUUUCAUUGAUCUCCAUAUUUUUUGAGGUAAUGGUAUUGUUUAUUUGCAUUAUUUAUUAAAGCUUCCUUGCUUUUUUUUUACAAGCUUAUGGGUGGCUGUCAGGAUAUGCUCUGGGUCCUUAUGAUCCUUUGCAAGAAAAUGCAGAUUCAAGAAAUAAAUAAACCCAUUGUAAUGCUGAAUUGAUGCACUUGAAAGUACUGCAACAUAGAAUUGCAAUCAAACUAUAUUUUAAGCAUGUCAUGUUAAGUACAAACUGGAAAGAUUAUCGGGUCUUUCAUUGUAUACAUCAACUGUAAAACCUCAUUUAAAAAAAAACAAAAAAAACAAAAAACACACACCACUAUCUUUGUGGUUGGUUUGCUGUACAAAGCUCACAACUAAAAGCAGUGUGAAAUCCUCUUGUUUGUGAGGUGUAAAAAGCAAGCACAAAAAGACAUCUAAUAUCUGUUGCUAUCAAUUACUAUUUAUGAAUUCUUUUUUGAACUAACAAGUGAUCCUUUUUUCUUCUGUCAUUUUUCUUUAAUCUUUUUGUUUUAGCUUUCCUGCUCUUAACAUAUUUAGUUUGAUUUUGCUAUAUCUAUCUAUCUAUCUAUCUAUCUAUCUAUCUAUCUAUCAAGAUAAACAACAAAAAAGAAAACGGCAGGAUGUAAUAAAGCUUACCUUUACAUAUAGAUGAGGUGUUUUAUUUAUAAAUGUAAUAUUUUAAUUUGUUCUCAUAAUGUAAUUUACAAACUCUUAGUUGUGUGCACCUUUGUAAGAAAGUGAAAAUAAGAUGCAGCUUUUGUCUUCAGGCAUUAACCUAUAUUGCUCAUUCCCACAUAGAAAGGCAUAUUGAUCUGUGUUUUAUAUUUUUAAAUCAAUUAACAAUAUGCACUCUCACUUAUUCAUUUUUUUUUUGUACUGUAGCUCACAUGAAAUGUCAUGAAACAAUAAAAAAUGUUGUGGAUAAGUAGAAUGAACAUCAAUAGGGAGCAUAGGGGAUCACAGCUUGUCCAGAGAAGUGCUUUCAGCACAAUAACUGCUGUUACAUUGGUCUGCAUGAACACAACCCGAGUGUCACUGUACCAGCUGGCUGUAUGUUGGCUCACUAAAAUGCCAAUGUCAAAGUAACAUUUGUUAGGUCUCUUUGUUGGCAGAAAAUUGAAAAUGUUAUUUUUCUAAACUGUCUUUUGUACUGCAAAAAAAAAA
Molecule: long non-coding RNA, 2830 nt
Organism: Polypterus senegalus (gray bichir)
Lineage: Eukaryota; Metazoa; Chordata; Cladistia; Polypteriformes; Polypteridae
Exons: 3
Source: RefSeq, a predicted model, not a curated record